GAGUCAAAUGCUUGCUCUCAUAAGGACAAGGCGUGAUGAGGAGCGAAAUUAAAGUAGCGAAGGCUGCGACGUCACACUGCCGAGAAAAGCUUCUAGCCAGAGACGGUGCACCCGUACCGCAAACCGACACAGGUAGUCGAGGAGAGUAUCCUCAGGUGAGCGAGAGAACUCUCGUUAAGGAACUCGGCAAAAUGGCCCCGUAACUUCGGGAGAAGGGGCGCUGGUCGCAAGAUCAGCCGCAGUGAAAAGGCCCAAGCAACUGUUUAUCAAAAACACAGGCAUCUGCAAAAUCGUAAGAUGAAGUAUAGGUGCUGACACCUGCCCGGUGCUGGAAGGUUAAGAGGAGAGCUUAGCGCAAGCGAAGGUUUGAAUUGAAGCCCCAGUAAACGGCGGCCGUAACUAUAACGGUCCUAAGGUAGCGAAAUUCCUUGUCGGGUAAGUUCCGACCUGCACGAAAGGUGUAAUGAUUUGGGCACUGUCUCAACGAGAGACUCGGUGAAAUUAUAAUACCCGUGAAGAUGCGGGUUACCCGCGACAGGACGGAAAGACCCCAUGGAGCUUUACUGCAGUUUAAUAUUGGGUAUCUGUCAAGCAUGUACAGGAUAGGUAGGAGCCGGAGAAGAUAGGACGCCAGUCUUAUCUGAGGCGCUGUUGGGAUACUACCCUUGCUUGACGGAUGCUCUAACUCAGG
Molecule: ribosomal RNA, 691 nt
Filed under: Lactobacillus delbrueckii subsp. bulgaricus
Lineage: Bacteria; Bacillati; Bacillota; Bacilli; Lactobacillales; Lactobacillaceae
Description: partial 23S ribosomal RNA
Rfam family: Bacterial large subunit ribosomal RNA
Source: RNAcentral